GAUAACAAAAAACAUGGCGGCUAUUUGUUAGUAGGUCCCGCUUCAAGAUUUCAAAAUCAUCAAACAUUCCAGAAAUGCAACAACUGUAAAAACUUUCAACGCUGUUUUGUUCAUAUGGAUGGGAACAAACACAUGUGUAUGCAUUUUUGAAUAUAAAAGUUUUGUGGCGGUACUUGGCAAGCAAUUUUCUCACACUUUACUGUGGCUAUUGGUGCUGAUCUUGAACUAAAGGUAAAUGGAACAGCAUGGAUGUGGAUUUUUAGACACAAGGAAGCUGAAUUUAACUUUUAAUGAAGAAUUUAAAUGAUGAUUGUCCAUGAAAAGAAAUAUUAAUCAUAUACAUUGUAAUGCUGUAUUGAUGCAUCUUCUGUUUUAAGUAAUUAAAAAACCAUCCAUUUAUGAAAUUCUUUUCAUUUUUUUUUUCAAUUUUAAAACUGUAGUUCUGUUUUGUUAUUUGAAAACAAUGAUGAAAGUAUACUGAACUGCCAUUGAGAUAUUAAUAUAAAUGCUAUUGUUUAUAGUUUAAUUCUUUCAGAAGCAACUAUAUUGACAUCAAAACUGAAUCUUUAUUGUACACUAAGUAUAAAAGCUUACCCGCAAACCAGUCCAUGUCAACAAUUUAUUGACAUUCAAACAUUAAAUUUUUUUAAAGGUGAUUUUUCUUAAAUAAAACAGACUACUUUCAUAUGGGAUAAGAAACAUUUAAUUUUGAAAUUGAUUGGUUUAUUAAAUUUUAAUGGAGCUGAAACUAAAACACUGGGUACAAAUUUAUUAUUACUUUGUUUCUCAGAAAAUUGCAAAUUUUGAACAUAAGAACUGUGGGAAGUAGGCAAUGAUGUUAAAAUAUCUCUUGAAACUUGAAGAAAUUGUGGAAGGUUUAGAGAUAGAAAACAACAUUUCAGAAGAUGAUGUUUGAAAUAAUGGUAAAAUAUCUUUAGCAAUUGUCACUGAAUAAAUAUUUUCAUUAGACAAAUCACAUUUAGAUAUAGAAGAAUAAGGUAUGUCUUCAGAUUUUCUUAUCAGCGAAGAUCCUGGGUGAUUCUCUUUGUUACCAUCAGUCAAACGACAAGCCAAUUCUGGAAAAUUCAUUGGGUUCUUUGCCUGGGCAGCUAAAUAUAUUUAAAUUAAGUUCAUGCAAGGCUUUAGAAACAUCAAUUGGAUAAAACUCUAUAAUUUCAUUAACUU
Long non-coding RNA from Physella acuta, 1185 nucleotides. RefSeq lists it as uncharacterized. Lineage: Eukaryota; Metazoa; Mollusca; Gastropoda; Physidae. The record is from RefSeq and is a predicted model, not a curated record.